Molecule: long non-coding RNA, 3025 nt
Organism: Ctenopharyngodon idella (grass carp)
Lineage: Eukaryota; Metazoa; Chordata; Actinopteri; Cypriniformes; Xenocyprididae
Exons: 3
Source: RefSeq, a predicted model, not a curated record
UGCUUUUUUAAACAUAUGUAUUCCUAAAUAACGAAUUAAACUGAAAAGUUGUUUAUGAGAGUAGAUCAUAGUGAGUUGAAUGUAAUUUUUUUUUUUUUUUUUUUACAUUAUUGUCAAUUUAGACUGCAAAGAAUUUGCCCAUGUGUAAUCUGUCAUGCAGUUAGUUUUAAAAUGUGCAAACCCACCAAAAGCUGAUGCUGGAGUUCAUCUGAAAAAAGCUAUGCUAAUAUCUAGUAUCCCAGAAUCAGUAUCUGGUAUUAAGAAAGAAAAAAAAAGUUCAUAAGUAUAGGCUACAGCAGAUUUAUUUUAUUAUCAUUGAGAUGCUGUUAAAGUGUUUCCUAUUAUAUUAAAUUAGCUUUCAUUUUUUAUGUCUUUUUUAUUUUAAUUUUAGUUCAUGUUUUAGGUUUUUUUUUUGUUGUUGUUAGUUUGAUAAAUAUGUCUGUAUAGUUUUUAUUUUAUAUUUUUUUAUAUUUUAACUUUUUAUGUUUGCACAUUUUUAUUGUUUUAGUUUUAGCUAUUUUAAUCAUCAUUAGUAUAUUAACAAAUAAACUAUUAAUAAAUAUGAACUCAUUAGCCUUGUCCAAAUAUCCACACUUGCGGUCUUUGUACUUGACCACUUGUCUACUUACAUGAUGUAUUUCCUGUAUUUGGCCCAAGUGUUCAAGUAGGUGUGAAGACCGCAAGUGUGUAUAGAACUUUUGAUUACCCAAUGGGACACACUUACAGUUGCAAGAAAAAGUAUGUGAACCACUUGCAGAAUCUGUGAAAAUGUGAAUAAUUUUAACAAAAUAAGAGAGAUCAUACAAAAUGCAUGUUAUUUUUUAAUUAGUACUGUCCUGAGUAAGAUAUUUUACAUAAAAGAUGUUUACAUAUAAUCAACAAGACAAAAAAAAAAAAAAAAAAAUAGCUGAAUUUAUUAAAAUAACCCUGUUCAAAAGUUUGUGAACCCUUGAUUCUUAACACUGUGUGUGGUUACCUGGAUGAUCUACAACUGUUUUUUUGUUGUGUGAUGGUUGUUCAUGAGUCUCUUGUUUGUCCUGAGCAGUUAAACUGAGCUCUGUUCUUCAGAAAAAUCCUCCAGGUCCUGCAGAUUCUUCAGUUUUCAAGGAUUUUUUGCAUAUUUGAACCCUUUACUGCAGUGACUGAAUGAUUUUGAGAUCCAUCUUUUCACACUGAGGACAACUGAGGGACUCAAACACAACUAAUAAAAAAGGUUCAAACAUUCACUGAUGCUUCAGAAGGAAACACGAUGCAUUAAGAGUCGGGGGGUGAAAACUUUUGAACAGGAUGAAGAUGUACAAAUUUUUCUUAUUUCGUUUAAAUAUCAAUUUUUUUUCAUUUAGUACUGCCCUUCGGAAGCAACAGAAGAUGUUUCCCAGAAGACAAAUUAAGUACAAUUUACCUUGAUCUUCAAAUUCAAAAAGUUUUUACCCCGGCUCUUAAUGCAUUGUGUUUCCUUCAUUUGUGUCAAAUCAUGAUUCGGAUCGCGUGUCAAACCGCCAAACUGCUGAAAUCACGUGACUUUGGCGCUCCGAACCGCUGAUUCGACACAAAAGAUUCAUAACGCUCCGAAGCUUCAUGAAGCAGUGUUUUGAAAUCAGCCAUCACUAAAUAAGUCAUUAUUUUUUAUUUAUUUUUAUUUUUUUGGUGUACAAAAAAUAUAAAUUGUCACUUUAUAAUAUUAAUAUUGAACCACUGUACUCACAUGAACUGAUUUAAAUAUGUUUUUAGUACAUUAAUGUAUCUUGAGAGAGGAAAUGUCAUUGCUGGCUAUGCAGGCCUCACGGAGCCAUCGGAUUUCAACAAAAAUAUAUAUCUUGAACUCUUGUCAUGGAAACUACUGUAUGUAUAAACCUUAAUUAACAAUUUAAUAGUUAAAUGCUCCAUUUCUGCAUAUAAUAAAGAGUACAAACUAUAUAUAAUUGCAUCUUAGUAUGUUAUAUAGUUAGCAUUUGAACCACACUUGCUAGGCAACAAGAACAAUCCUCUGUAGGCUAGACCUCCCCAUUUAACAAAGCUCAGUCCGACCUUUGUGACCUUUGAAGGAUACAAUUGGGACACAGCUUAUGAGUGCACCUGAUAACGUCCACUAUGGUUUCGGACACCACUACAAAUGGCUGUCCCCUCAAACAGUGCCCUAUUUAAGGGUAUAGGGCAGGGGUGUCCAAGCCUGCUCCUGGAGAGCUACCGUCCUGCAGACUUUAAUUCCAACCCUGCUCCAACACACCAGUCUGUAAUUAUCAAGCAACCCUCAACACCUUGAUUAGCUGGUUCAGGUGUGUUUGAUUGGGGUCGGAGCUGAAAUCUGCAGGAUGGUAGUUCUCCAAGAGCAGGGUUGGACACCCCUGGUAUAGGGGGUGAUUUCGGCACAACCCCAGCGUUUAAUUCUCACUAAUCAAACACACCUGAUUCAAGUCAUCAGCUCAUUAGUAGUGACUUCAAGACCUGAAAUCUUUGUCAGAGGAGAGAGACAUCCAGCAUGUUUCCUGUGGACUCUAGGACCAGGGUUGGGAACCACUGCCUUAACGAAUAAAGAUAUCACUAAAUAACAACAAAUAAAAUUGAUGUCUUUGGAAGAAGAUUACAGUGGGUUGAAUAUCAUUUUGUCCCAGUGCUUUUAGAUGAGCAUUAGAGGGGUGUUCUGUCCUGCAGAGUUUAGUGCCAACCCCAAUUAAACUCACCUGAACCAAGGUAAUCAAAUCUUCAGAACCUCUAGAAACAUCCAGACAGGUGUGUUGGAGCAGGUUGGAGAUAAACUCUGCAGAACACUGGCCCUCCAGGAGCUGAACUGAGCACAACCGACUAAUUAGUUAUUUUGAACAUUAAAAUUAAAAUAGAGUGCGAAGAUAUUCAAAAAUGACUUUAUCUAUCAUGCCUUUUAGUCAUCACAAACCCAAGAAAACCUGUUGAAGAGAAAGCUGGAGUUCAUCUGGAAGAAGGACAAGCUACUGAAUCAUCGAAUGCCAAUGCAGCUAAUGCUGAAGAACCUUUGCUCAAGAAAGAGUUUAAAGAACAAGACACUGAU